This 344-nucleotide long non-coding RNA is filed under the name Lathyrus oleraceus (garden pea). RNAcentral's name for it is "Pisum sativum (pea) long non-coding RNA (PSAT_LNC022415)". The record is from RNAcentral. Lineage: Eukaryota; Viridiplantae; Streptophyta; Magnoliopsida; Fabales; Fabaceae.
CUUCUUUCUUCCAGAAAGGAAACCAGGUUGAACUUUUUUGGUGCUGAAGCGUUUUUUCUCUUAACAUGGCACGGUUUCCACAAUGAUUAUAAAAUACACAGCAUGCUACACUAAGUACAGCACAAUUUUGAAGAAUGGCCAAGAUCUCAUGUCUCUUUCCAGCCACACGCGAAACCAAACCAAUAUACCAGAGGCCAUAAAAAAGAAUGUGGAAAACAAUAAGAAACACAAUGGAUAAGAUAUAUAUUGUCAAAAACAAAGAUAGAUUCAUCCUCAUAUCCACCCCCAUUGACUGAAAACUAGGAAGAUGGUACACUGCAGCCACUAAAAUCCAGGCUAUGUAC